This 378-nucleotide unclassified non-coding RNA is filed under the name plant metagenome. RNAcentral describes it as "partial contains 5.8S ribosomal RNA, internal transcribed spacer 2, and large subunit ribosomal RNA". The stretch from base 1 to 105 matches the Rfam family "5.8S ribosomal RNA", at positions 50 to 154 of the family's 154-position model. The record is from RNAcentral.
GAAAUGCGAUAAGUAAUGUGAAUUGCAGAAUUCAGUGAAUCAUCGAAUCUUUGAACGCACCUUGCGCUCCUUGGUAUUCCUUGGAGCAUGCCUGUUUGAGUAUCAUGAAAUCUUCAAAGUAAAUCUUUUGUUAACUCAAUUGGUUUCUACUUUGGUAUUGGAGGUCUUUGCAGCUUCACACCUGCUCCUCUUUGUUCAUUAGCUGGAUCUCAGUGUUAUGCUUGGUUCCACUCGGCGUGAUAAGUUAUCUAUCGCUGAGGACACUGUAAAAGGUGGCCAAGGUAUAUGCAGAUGAACCGCUUCUAAUAGUCCAUUGACUUGGACAAUACUUUUAUGAUCUGAUCUCAAAUCAGGUAGGACUACCCGCCGAACUUAAGC